UGAUUGAAACCUCUACGAGUAGU
Molecule: microRNA, 23 nt
Filed under: Macaca mulatta (Rhesus monkey)
Lineage: Eukaryota; Metazoa; Chordata; Mammalia; Primates; Cercopithecidae
Also listed under: 1 other name
Description: Mml-Mir-506-P1d_3p (mature (guide))
Source: RNAcentral